Molecule: non-coding RNA, 26 nt
Filed under: Mus musculus (house mouse)
Lineage: Eukaryota; Metazoa; Chordata; Mammalia; Rodentia; Muridae
Source: RNAcentral
UCAGUUGAAAGGUAUGCCUGUAUCCC